Coturnix japonica (Japanese quail) is the source of this 2291-nucleotide non-coding RNA. The record is from RefSeq and is a predicted model, not a curated record. NCBI's taxonomy places the organism in Eukaryota, Metazoa, Chordata, Aves, Galliformes, Phasianidae.
UAGGUGCCGGUACCGGUGCCGGUGCCCCUAUCUGCAAUCUCGGAGGUGCCCAUGCCCAUCUUCAGGCUCGUAGAUUGCCCCCCAUUUGCAGGCUCUGAGGUUCGGAGCUCGUUGCUCCGAGCCCCCCCCUGCAAUGUGGAUCUUGUCCGGCCGCUCCGUGUAAAGAAAGCUGCAGGUGGAGAAGGACAAGAGGAGACCCACGAGGACUGCAGGUGAAGGAAGGAGAGAGGGAUGCGGGAUGCUGGGGGUGGGAUGGUGGUCGUCCCCCCCUCUACCCACCCCUAACCAUCACAAUCCCUUUUUUACCUACGGAGGAUGGAGGCUGGUUAGCCGGGGAGGAUGGAGGUAUUGCGGAGAGGGAGCUCCUUUGGUGGUGGGAGGAAGGGUGAGGCCCUUAAGGGCAUCCCCGAGCGGGAUGCGGUUACCUCUAAAGGAAAAGAGAACGCGAGGAAAACGGAAGGUGGAAAGAGAGAGACAGAGAGAAAAGGGCUGCGGCUCCAGAGAACGAAGAAAGGGCAGAGGGAGGCCGGGCCCGUGGGGAAGGAGAGGGGCUGAGGGUCUCCCCUAAACCCCCAGGAGCAGAGAGUGGGGCCCGGUGCGGUGCCUCGGUGCUGAGCAUCGAGCGAGAGUCGCUCCCUUCCCUUCUCUUCUUUACCAUCGUCUCCUCCGCGUUCGUUCAUCCCGUCCGUUAACCCCCCCCCCUAGAUCCAGGGCUGCAUUCAAAGCAAGCCAAGUUAUUAUUUAUUUGAAGCUGGAGGUUUUUGGGGUGUUGUUUGGCGUGUGGUUUUUAUUUUGCAGUCGUUUUGUUUGGCCGAGCGUUAAAUGGAUUCGUUGGGUGGGGGAGACGUCCUUUUAUGUCUCCUAAAUUACCGGUGCGAAUUCUAUUUGCUUUCAUUAUCACCGGCUUGGAUGCAUUAUUUUGACAGAGCUCGGGGGUUAUUAAAAAUAACGCGGCCUUAAUCCUCAGCACCUGCAGAACGUCGUUUCGUUUGCAAACGAAACAGAUUUAAGCUGGAAAAGGGGCUCGAUCCCCCCCCAAACCCAGGCUGUUCCUGCGUGGCUGUCUCGUAAUCCUGCUCCAAAUGAUGUUUCUAAGGGCCCGAUUCUGCCCAUAAAGCUGCUGCUCUGCUUGGGCUGCAGCCUCAGGGCCCCGCUGUAGCUGCGUGCUGGCAUUACGGAUCCCACUGCUAAUUCUUGCAUCUCUGUUUAUUCGUUUCCUCCCUCGUUCCCUUUCUAAAAGCCACAUGCCUGGAAGCCCCUGGAGAAGAGGAGGUUGCCCCUUUUGCUGCUAGUGCUGUAGACUUCAGGGGUUGGUUGUUAUCUUUGGUUAUCUAGCUGUAUGAGUGUUGUCGAUUCUUCAUAAAGCUAGAUAACCGAAAGUAAAAAUAACCCCAUUACACGCCUGAGGAGGAUGUGGAGAAGAAAGGAAAUCCAGCCAGAGGAAGAGGAGGAAAACAAAAAGAGAAAUGAAAGAGAAAGAAAGGAAGAAGAUCAAGGAAACAAGAGGCAGAAAAAAUGAAGAACCGAGAAGAGGGGAAAAAAAAAAGGCAACUUUUUGAGACUGGAAUUAAAAACCGAGCCGUCUCCGUUCCUCCUUUGCUGUGGCGCUGAGGAUGCCAUUGACUCCAGUGCAGAGAGUGGCUUCCACUGCUGUGAUGCUCCACUUGUUUCCUGGCCAGCCAAAAGCAAUGCUUGAAUCCUGGUGUGGAAGUCCAUUCAGAAUUGCCUGGAGUGGAGGCUGGAGAGGAAAACCACAACCACAGCAGAGCCUGGAUGUGGGGAGCUGCUAGCAGGACCCAUCUUGGGGACAGUCAAUGUGUGUGCCUUCCUCCAUCCUCCUCCCAGCAGCUGAUGGCCUGGAGCAGCACAGAGCAAGCCUGGCAUCGGGCUAUAGGGACACCAUGAGCACUCUGGGGAUGGGACAAAGCUCCAUACCACACUGGUGGAGAACACAAAGCUGGAAUCGAUGGAAGAAGAAGAAGGAAAGAAAGGAAACCAAAGUCUCCAAACUCAGGAGAUCUUUUAAUUGCUUACGAAUGUCUCCAUCUCAAAAAUUAUCCAAUUGAUGUUGUCGUGCUUUUUCUUUUUUUUUUCUCUUGACAGCCUGAAAUCUAAUUACUAGGCAAAUUUAAUGAUAAUGAAAUGAAGGCACUUUAGCAGAAAGCAACGGGGCCUUGUUAAUAUUUUCUCUGUCUCUGUCUUGUUCGUAUUAUUUAAGUCUAUUUAUUUUCACCACCUUCUUUCUUGCGGUAUAAAAGAAUUGCCAAAAAUAAAACUUGGAUUGCUGAAAA